UACGUAGGGUGCGAGCGUUGUUCGGAAUUACUGGGCGUAAAGGGCUCGUAGGCGGCCAACUAAGUCAGACGUGAAAUCCCUCGGCUUAACCGGGGAACUGCGUCUGAUACUGGAUGGCUUGAGUUUGGGAGAGGGAUGCGGAAUUCCAGGUGUAGCGGUGAAAUGCGUAGAUAUCGGGAGGAACACCGUUGGCGAAGGCGACUUUCUGGGCUGCUACUGACGCUGAUGCGCGAAAGCCAGGGGAGCGAACAGG
Molecule: ribosomal RNA, 253 nt
Filed under: uncultured bacterium
Lineage: Bacteria
Description: partial 16S ribosomal RNA
Rfam family: Bacterial small subunit ribosomal RNA
Source: RNAcentral